RNAcentral lists this ribosomal RNA (328 nucleotides) under Candidatus Allofontibacter lacus. Its description in RNAcentral is "bacterial SSU rRNA". It matches the Rfam family "Bacterial small subunit ribosomal RNA", at positions 1217 to 1533 of the family's 1533-position model. The record is from RNAcentral. Lineage: Bacteria; Pseudomonadati; Pseudomonadota; Alphaproteobacteria; Candidatus Pelagibacterales; Candidatus Pelagibacteraceae.
CACGCAUGCUACAAUGGCCGGUACAAAGGGCUGCAAUACCGCAAGGUGGAGCGAAUCCCAAAAAGCCGGUCUCAGUUCGGAUUGGGGUCUGCAACUCGACCCCAUGAAGUCGGAGUUGCUAGUAAUCGCAGAUCAGCAACGCUGCGGUGAAUACGUUCCCGGGCCUUGUACACACCGCCCGUCACAUCACGAAAGUCGGUAACACCCAAAGUCAGUGGCCCAACCGCAAGGAGGGAGCUGCCUAAGGUGGGAUCGGUGAUUGGGAUGAAGUCGUAACAAGGUAGCCGUACCGGAAGGUGCGGCUGGAUCACCUCCUUUCUAAGGAGCA